RNAcentral lists this ribosomal RNA (461 nucleotides) under uncultured bacterium. RNAcentral's name for it is "bacterial SSU rRNA". It matches the Rfam family "Bacterial small subunit ribosomal RNA", at positions 28 to 507 of the family's 1533-position model. The record is from RNAcentral.
GACGAACGCUGGCGGCGUGCCUAACACAUGCAAGUCGAACGGAGUUAUUCCUUCGGGGAUAACUUAGUGGCGAACGGGUGAGUAACGCGUGAGAAACCUGCCUUUCAGUGGGGGACAACAGUUGGAAACGACUGCUAAUACCGCAUAAUGUUAUUUGGGGGCAUCCCCGAGUAACCAAAGAUUUAUUGCUGAAAGAUGGUCUCGCGUCUGAUUAGCUAGUUGGUGAGGUAACGGCUCACCAAGGCGACGAUCAGUAGCCGGUCUGAGAGGAUGAACGGCCACAUUGGGACUGAGAUACGGCCCAGACUCCUACGGGAGGCAGCAGUGGGGAAUAUUGGGCAAUGGGCGAAAGCCUGACCCAGCAACGCCGCGUGAAGGAAGAAGGCCCUCGGGUUGUAAACUUCUUUUACCAGGGACGAAGAAUGACGGUACCUGGAGAAAAAGCAACGGCUAACUACGUG